This 62-nucleotide transfer RNA is filed under the name Isotomurus maculatus. Its description in RNAcentral is "tRNA-Glu". It matches the Rfam family "tRNA". Rfam says of the family: Transfer RNA (tRNA) molecules are approximately 80 nucleotides in length. Their secondary structure includes four short double-helical elements and three loops (D, anti-codon, and T loops). Lineage: Eukaryota; Metazoa; Arthropoda; Collembola; Entomobryomorpha; Isotomidae. The record is from RNAcentral.
GACGCUGUAGUUUAAAAAACAUUACACUUUCAUUGUAAAGAUAGGCUAAAGCCUCUGUGUUU